Bubalus bubalis (water buffalo) is the source of this 600-nucleotide long non-coding RNA. RefSeq lists it as uncharacterized. The transcript has 4 exons. Lineage: Eukaryota; Metazoa; Chordata; Mammalia; Artiodactyla; Bovidae. The record is from RefSeq and is a predicted model, not a curated record.
ACAGGGCUGCAAGGAAAUCUGGCGCGGUUCAAUACCUCGUCUAGUCUGGGUUCCAGUACCUUUUUUUUUUUCAAACUGACAAACUCAUUUCUCUACCGGGACAGGAUGCUGUGCUGGCUGGGAGUUCCAUUUCUGCAGCAAGAAUCCUAUCUGGAAACACAGAAGUUGUCCUCUAAGCCACAGCAGCUCGAACUUUUUUGAUUGUUGUUGCUGCUUUCUCCCAUCACCCCCACCCCCUUUUGACAAAGAUCCAACUGUAAAAAGUCUUACGUAACAGUUCAGGACUACUUCGGUUCUUUUACUGGUAUAUCAAGAGGCCUCAAGAGGACUAUGAAAACAUUUACAUCUCCAAGCCAAAGCAUGUGGGUUUCACAAUAUUUCAUAGUAUCUCUGGAAAAGGAAUGAAAGGAGAUUCACAUCUCCAACAAAUACUGGACCAAAAAAAACGAAGAACUGUAACUUCAGCCUGAAGAAUCCACAGAAAGUCUCCUUGGGACCCCAAAACACUUGACAGAUGAACAUGAAGCCAGAGCAAACUAGUAUUAUUAAGUUGUCUCACUCUGAAGCUGUGCUUUAAAUUGCCUGUUCCUCCCACAUCAC